RNAcentral lists this ribosomal RNA (476 nucleotides) under uncultured anaerobic ammonium-oxidizing bacterium. RNAcentral's name for it is "bacterial SSU rRNA". It matches the Rfam family "Bacterial small subunit ribosomal RNA", at positions 365 to 832 of the family's 1533-position model. The record is from RNAcentral.
UUCGCAAUGCCCGAAAGGGUGACGAUGCGACGCCGCGUGAGCGAAGAAGGCCCUAGGGUUGUAAAGCUCUGUCGAGGGUUAUGAAAUAUAGAUGGGUUAAUACCCCAUUUAUUUGACAAAAGCCCAAAAGGAAGCCACGGCUAACUCUGUGCCAGCAGCCGCGGUAAUACAGAGGUGGCGAGCGUUGUUCGGUAUUAUUGGGCGUAAAGAGCACGUAGGUGGUUUUGUAAGUCAGAUGCGAAAGCCUUCUGUUCAAAGGAAGAACGGCAUCUGAAGCUGCAGAUCUUGAGUGUAGGAGGGGAGAGUGGAACUUCUGGUGGAGCGGUGAAAUGCGUAGAUAUCAGAAGGAACGUCGGCGGCGAAAGCGACUCUCUGGCCUAUUACUGACACUGAGGUGCGAAAGUUAGGGGAGCAAACGGGAUUAGAUACCCCGGUAGUCCUAACCGUAAACGAUGGGCACUAAGUAGAGGGGUUUU